AUACGGAGGGUGCAAGCGUUACUCGGAAUCACUGGGCGUAAAGCGCGCGCAGGCGGCCUGAUAAGUUGGAUGUGAAAGCCUACGGCUCAACCGUAGAACUGCAUCCAAAACUGUCAGGCUAGAGUGUGCGAGAGGAAGAUGGAAUUAGUUGUGUAGGGGUAAAAUCCGUAGAGAUAACUAGGAAUACCAAAAGCGAAGGCAAUCUUCUGGAACACUACUGACGCUGAGGCGCGAAGGCGUGGGGAGCAAACAGAAUUAGAAACCCUAGUAGUCC
RNAcentral lists this ribosomal RNA (274 nucleotides) under uncultured bacterium. Its description in RNAcentral is "partial 16S ribosomal RNA". It matches the Rfam family "Bacterial small subunit ribosomal RNA", at positions 523 to 796 of the family's 1533-position model. The record is from RNAcentral.